RNAcentral lists this transfer RNA (74 nucleotides) under Chryseobacterium sp. Its description in RNAcentral is "tRNA-Cys". It matches the Rfam family "tRNA". From Rfam's summary of the family: Transfer RNA (tRNA) molecules are approximately 80 nucleotides in length. Their secondary structure includes four short double-helical elements and three loops (D, anti-codon, and T loops). Lineage: Bacteria; Pseudomonadati; Bacteroidota; Flavobacteriia; Flavobacteriales; Weeksellaceae. The record is from RNAcentral.
GGUGGUAUAGCAUAAUGGUAUUGCGGAAGUUUGCAAAACUUUAGGCGGUGGUUCGAUUCCACCUUCCACCUUCA